GAAAUGCGAUACGUAAUACGAAUUGCAGAUUCAGUGAAUCAUCGAAUCUUUGAACGCAUAUUGCGCCCUCUGGCACUCCAGAGGGCAUGUCCGACCGAGCGCCACUGCCCGCGCUCGGAGGGGACCCCUUCACGGGGGGCCCCUCCGGUGUUGGGGCGCGCGCCGCUGCCACAGCGGUGCCGCCCCGAAAUGCAGUGGCGGCCGCACCCCGCGGACCUCCUGGCGCAGUAAUAAUACCCUGACGUCACGGCGAGUCCCGGGGAGGGCCCGCUCCCAAGAACCCCUGAAUUCCAGCACUGGUUGGCCUCGGGUCGGACAAGAUUACCCGCUGAACUUAA
Molecule: unclassified non-coding RNA, 338 nt
Filed under: uncultured Ascomycota
Lineage: Eukaryota; Fungi; Ascomycota
Description: sequence contains ITS1
Rfam family: 5.8S ribosomal RNA (bases 1-104)
Source: RNAcentral